CCUACGGGAGGCAGCAGUGGGGAAUAUUGGACAAUGGGGGGAACCCUGAUCCAGCCAUGCCGCGUGUGUGAAGAAGGCCCUCGGGUUGUAAAGCACUUUCAGUGAGGAAGAACGCCUGGUGGUUAAUACCCAUCAGGAAAGACAUCACUCACAGAAGAAGCACCGGCUAACUCCGUGCCAGCAGCCGCGGUAAUACGGAGGGUGCGAGCGUUAAUCGGAAUUACUGGGCGUAAAGCGCGCGUAGGUGGCUUGAUAAGCCGGUUGUGGAAGCCCCGGGCUCAACCUGGGAACGGCAUCCGGAACUGUCAAGCUAGAGUGCAGGAGAGGAAGGUAGAAUUCCCGGUGUAGCGGUGAAAUGCGUAGAGAUCGGGAGGAAUACCAGUGGCGAAGGCGGCCUUCUGGACUGACACUGACACUGAGGUGCGAAAGCGUGGGUAGCAAACAGGAUUAGAUACCCCGGUAGUC
This 465-nucleotide ribosomal RNA is filed under the name Vreelandella stevensii. RNAcentral describes it as "partial 16S ribosomal RNA". It matches the Rfam family "Bacterial small subunit ribosomal RNA", at positions 338 to 795 of the family's 1533-position model. The record is from RNAcentral. Lineage: Bacteria; Pseudomonadati; Pseudomonadota; Gammaproteobacteria; Oceanospirillales; Halomonadaceae.